UGCUUGCAUCAUGAUUUACAUUUGAGUGAGUGGCGAACUGGUGAGUAACACGUGGGAAACCUGCCCAGAAGCGGGGGAUAACACCUGGAAACAGAUGCUAAUACCGCAUAACAACUUGGACCGCAUGGUCCGAGUUUGAAAGAUGGCUUCGGCUAUCACUUUUGGUCCCGCGGCGUAUUAGCUAGAUGGUGGGGUAACGGCUCACCAUGGCAAUGAUACGUAGCCGACCUGAGAGGGUAAUCGGCCACAUUGGGACUGAGACACGGCCCAAACUCCUACGGGAGGCAGCAGUAGGGAAUCUUCCACAAUGGACGAAAGUCUGAUGGAGCAACGCCGCGUGAGUGAAGAAGGGUUUCGGCUCGUAAAACUCUGUUGUUAAAGAAGAACAUAUCUGAGAGUAACUGUUCAGGUAUUGACGGUAUUUAACCAGAAAGCCACGGCUAACUACGUGCCAGCAGCCGCGGUAAUACGUAGGUGGCAAGCGUUGUCCGGAUUUAUUGGGCGUAAAGCGAGCGCAGGCGGUUUUUUAAGUCUGAUGUGAAAGCCUUCGGCUCAACCGAAGAAGUGCAUCGGAAACUGGGAAACUUGAGUGCAGAAGAGGACAGUGGAACUCCAUGUGUAGCGGUGAAAUGCGUAGAUAUAUGGAAGAACACCAGUGGCGAAGGCGGCUGUCUGGUCUGUAACUGACGCUGAGGCUCGAAAGUAUGGGUAGCAAACAGGAUUAGAUACCCUGGUAGUCCAUACCGUAAACGAUGAAUGCUAAGUGUUGGAGGGUUUCCGCCCUUCAGUGCUGCAGCUAACGCAUUAAGCAUUCCGCCUGGGGAGUACGGCCGCAAGGCUGAAACUCAAAGGAAUUGACGGGGGCCCGCACAAGCGGUGGAGCAUGUGGUUUAAUUCGAAGCUACGCGAAGAACCUUACCAGGUCUUGACUACUAUGCAAAUCUAAGAGAUUAGACGUUCCCUUCGGGGACAUGGAUACAGGUGGUGCAUGGUUGUCGUCAGCUCGUGUCGUGAGAUGUUGGGUUAAGUCCCGCAACGAGCGCACCCUUAUUAUCAGUUGCAGCAUUAAGUUGGGCACUCUGGU
RNAcentral lists this ribosomal RNA (1084 nucleotides) under Lactiplantibacillus plantarum. RNAcentral's name for it is "bacterial SSU rRNA". It matches the Rfam family "Bacterial small subunit ribosomal RNA", at positions 65 to 1144 of the family's 1533-position model. The record is from RNAcentral. Lineage: Bacteria; Bacillati; Bacillota; Bacilli; Lactobacillales; Lactobacillaceae.